This 497-nucleotide ribosomal RNA is filed under the name uncultured bacterium. Its description in RNAcentral is "partial 16S ribosomal RNA". It matches the Rfam family "Bacterial small subunit ribosomal RNA", at positions 28 to 507 of the family's 1533-position model. The record is from RNAcentral.
GAUGAACGCUGGCGGCGUGCCUAAUACAUGCAAGUCGAGCGAACAGACGAGGAGCUUGCUCCUCUGACGUUAGCGGCGGACGGGUGAGUAACACGUGGAUAACCUACCUAUAAGACUGGGAUAACUUCGGGAAACCGGAGCUAAUACCGGAUAAUAUAUUGAACCGCAUGGUUCAAUAGUGAAAGACGGUUUUGCUGUCACUUAUAGAUGGAUCCGCGCCGCAUUAGCUAGUUGGUAAGGUAACGGCUUACCAAGGCAACGAUGCGUAGCCGACCUGAGAGGGUGAUCGGCCACACUGGAACUGAGACACGGUCCAGACUCCUACGGGAGGCAGCAGUAGGGAAUUUUCCGCAAUGGGCGAAAGCCUGACGGAGCAAAGCCGCGUGAGUGAUGAAGGUCUUCGGAUCGUAAAACCCUGUUAUUAGGGAAGAACAAAUGUGUAAGUAACUAUGCACGUCUUGACGGUACCUAAUCAGAAAGCCACGGCUAACUACGUG